RNAcentral lists this ribosomal RNA (253 nucleotides) under uncultured bacterium. RNAcentral's name for it is "partial 16S ribosomal RNA". It matches the Rfam family "Bacterial small subunit ribosomal RNA", at positions 524 to 776 of the family's 1533-position model. The record is from RNAcentral.
UACAGAGGUCUCAAGCGUUGUUCGGAUUCAUUGGGCGUAAAGGGUGCGUAGGCGGUCGGGUAAGUCUGACGUGAAAUCUCCGGGCCUAACCCGGAAACUGCGUUGGAUACUACCUGACUAGAGGAAUGGAGGGGAGACUGGAAUACUUGGUGUAGCAGUGAAAUGCGUAGAUAUCAAGUGGAACACCAGUGGCGAAGGCGAGUCUCUGGACAUUUCCUGACGCUGAGGCACGAAAGCCAGGGGAGCAAACGGG